RNAcentral lists this ribosomal RNA (720 nucleotides) under uncultured Bacteroidales bacterium. RNAcentral describes it as "bacterial SSU rRNA". It matches the Rfam family "Bacterial small subunit ribosomal RNA", at positions 68 to 776 of the family's 1533-position model. The record is from RNAcentral. Lineage: Bacteria; Pseudomonadati; Bacteroidota; Bacteroidia; Bacteroidales.
GGCAGCAUUUUAGUUUGCUUGCAAACUGAAGAUGGCGACCGGCGCACGGGUGAGUAACACGUAUCCAACCUGCCGAUAACUCCGGAAUAGCCUUUCGAAAGAAAGAUUAAUACCGGAUAGCAUACGAAUAUCGCAUGAUAUUUUUAUUAAAGAAUUUCGGUUAUCGAUGGGGAUGCGUUCCAUUAGUUUGUUGGCGGGGUAACGGCCCACCAAGACUACGAUGGAUAGGGGUUCUGAGAGGAAGGUCCCCCACAUUGGAACUGAGACACGGUCCAAACUCCUACGGGAGGCAGCAGUGAGGAAUAUUGGUCAAUGGGCGAGAGCCUGAACCAGCCAAGUAGCGUGAAGGAUGAAGGCUCUAUGGGUCGUAAACUUCUUUUAUAUGGGAAUAAAGUUUUCCACGUGUGGAAUUUUGUAUGUACCAUAUGAAUAAGGAUCGGCUAACUCCGUGCCAGCAGCCGCGGUAAUACGGAGGAUCCGAGCGUUAUCCGGAUUUAUUGGGUUUAAAGGGAGCGUAGGUGGAUUGUUAAGUCAGUUGUGAAAGUUUGCGGCUCAACCGUAAAAUUGCAGUUGAAACUGGCAGUCUUGAGUACAGUAGAGGUGGGCGGAAUUCGUGGUGUAGCGGUGAAAUGCUUAGAUAUCACGAAGAACUCCGAUUGCGAAGGCAGCUCACUAGACUGUCACUGACACUGAUGCUCGAAAGUGUGGGUAUCAAACAGG